This is a long non-coding RNA of Exaiptasia diaphana, 435 nucleotides long. RefSeq lists it as uncharacterized. The transcript is spliced from 4 exons. The record is from RefSeq and is a predicted model, not a curated record. NCBI's taxonomy places the organism in Eukaryota, Metazoa, Cnidaria, Anthozoa, Actiniaria, Aiptasiidae.
GAGACUUGGUAACCUAGCGCCACGUUSGUGUUUUUAAAGUUUUGUUGUUAUGUUGUAUUUACUGCUUUUCUGACCUAAAUAUGGCUCGAAAAGAGGUCCAAGGAAAGUCUGAAAUAGAAAAAUACAGAAAGCGAUUAGGUCAUCAUGAAUUUAGUGGUAGAAAUAAAAGAAACACAAUCAAGAGUAAAGAUGCAGCACAAGCACGCAAGUCAUCUCAUCCAUUUCAGAUUAUAUUACUUUACUUGGUCUUCCUGCUUGUCAUCCUGUUAGCAAUCUACUGUUUGUUUUAUUCACUUUAUAACAUCAAGAAACAAGCAAAUUAGUCAAAUGAUGUUCAACGAACAAUAAAUGAAUAAAGCUGUAAAUAUAUUCAUAGCUUAAUAUAAGAUAUCCUCCAAUCAAAUUAUUUGAUAUUAAAACUUAUGUGAAUUUGUA